RNAcentral lists this ribosomal RNA (492 nucleotides) under uncultured bacterium. Its description in RNAcentral is "partial 16S ribosomal RNA". It matches the Rfam family "Bacterial small subunit ribosomal RNA", at positions 29 to 507 of the family's 1533-position model. The record is from RNAcentral.
AGUGAACGCUGGCGGUAGGCCUAACACAUGCAAGUCGAACGGCAGCACAGUAAGAGCUUGCUCUUACGGGUGGCGAGUGGCGGACGGGUGCGGAAUACAUCGGAAUCUACUUUUUCGUGGGGGAUAACGUAGGGAAACUUACGCUAAUACCGCAUACGACCUACGGGUGAAAGCAGGGGAUCUUCGGACCUUGCGCGAUUGAAUGAGCCGAUGUCGGAUUAGCUAGUUGGCGGGGUAAAGGCCCACCAAGGCGACGAUCCGUAGCUGGUCUGAGAGGAUGAUCAGCCACACUGGAACUGAGACACGGUCCAGACUCCUACGGGAGGCAGCAGUGGGGAAUAUUGGACAAUGGGCGCAAGCCUGAUCCAGCCAUACCGCGUGGGUGAAGAAGGCCUUCGGGUUGUAAAGCACUUUUGUUGGGAAAGAAAAGCAGCAGGUUAAUACCCCGCUGUUCUGACGGUACCCAAAGAAUAAGCACCGGCUAACUUCGUG